AGAGUUUGAUCCUGGCUCAGGAUGAACGCUAGCGGCAGGCCUAAUACAUGCAAGUCGAACGGUGAUAGCAAUAUCAUAGUGGCGCACGGGUGCGUAACACGUAUGCAACCUACCUUAUACUGAGGGAUAGCCUUUCGAAAGGGAGAUUAAUACCUCAUAACACAUUGAACUGGCAUCAGUUUAUUGUUAAAGAUUUAUUGGUAUAAGAUGGGCAUGCGUCCAAUUAGUUAGUUGGCGAGGUAACGGCUCACCAAGACGAUGAUUGGUAGGGGAACUGAGAGGUUAAUCCCCCACACUGGCACUGAGAUACGGGCCAGACUCCUACGGGAGGCAGCAGUAGGGAAUAUUGGGCAAUGGAGGCAACUCUGACCCAGCCAUGCCGCGUGCAGGAAGAAGGCGUUAUGCGUUGUAAACUGCUUUUAUAUAGGAAGAAAUAGACCUUGCGAGGUAAGUUGACGGUACUAUAUGAAUAGGCACCGGCUAACUCCGUGCCAGCAGCCGCGGUAAUACGGAGGGUGCAAGCGUUGUCCGGAUUUAUUGGGUUUAAAGGGUGCGUAGGCGGUUUAUUAAGUCAGUGGUGAAAGACGGUCGCUCAACGAUUGCAGUGCCAUUGAUACUGGUAG
Molecule: ribosomal RNA, 623 nt
Filed under: uncultured bacterium
Lineage: Bacteria
Description: bacterial SSU rRNA
Rfam family: Bacterial small subunit ribosomal RNA
Source: RNAcentral